AUGAACGCUGGCGGCGUGCUUAACACAUGCAAGUCGAACGAAGCAUCUUUACACGAUCCCUUCGGGGUGACGAAUUGGUGACUGAGUGGCGGACGGGUGAGUAACGCGUGGGAAACCUGCCCUGUACCGGGGAUAGCAGUUGGAAACGGCUGAUAAUACCGCAUAAGCGCACAGUAAGACAUCUUACGGUGUGAAAAACUCCGGUGGUACAGGAUGGUCCCGCGUCUGAUUAGCUAGUUGGUGAGGUAAUAGCUCACCAAGGCGACGAUCAGUAGCCGGUCUGAGAGGAUGGACGGCCACAUUGGGACUGAGACACGGCCCAGACUCCUACGGGAGGCAGCAGUGGGGAAUCUUCCGCAAUGGGCGAAAGCCUGACGGAGCAACGCCGCGUGAGUGAAGAAGGUCUUCGGAUCGUAAGGCUCUGUUGUCGGGGACGAAUGUUGAGGCCUAGAACAUAGGUUUCAAAUGACGGUACCUGACGAGGAAGCCACGGCUAACUACGUG
This 504-nucleotide ribosomal RNA is filed under the name uncultured bacterium. RNAcentral describes it as "bacterial SSU rRNA". It matches the Rfam family "Bacterial small subunit ribosomal RNA", at positions 29 to 507 of the family's 1533-position model. The record is from RNAcentral.